RNAcentral lists this ribosomal RNA (440 nucleotides) under uncultured bacterium. RNAcentral describes it as "partial 16S ribosomal RNA". It matches the Rfam family "Bacterial small subunit ribosomal RNA", at positions 338 to 795 of the family's 1533-position model. The record is from RNAcentral.
CCUACGGGGGGCAGCAGUGAGGGAUAUUGGUCAAUGGGGGAAACCCUGAACCAGCAACGCCGCGUGAGGGAAGACGGUUUUCGGAUUGUAAACCUCUGUCCUCUGUGAAGAUAAUGACGGUAGCAGAGGAGGAAGCUCCGGCUAACUACGUGCCAGCAGCCGCGGUAAUACGUAGGGAGCAAGCGUGGUCCGGAUUUACUGGGUGUAAAGGGUGCGUAGGCGGCUUUGCAAGUCAGAAGUGAAAUCCAUGGGCUUAACCCAUGAACUGCUUUUGAAACUGCAGAGCUGGAGUGGAGUAGAGGUAGGCGGAAUUCCCGGUGUAGCGGUGAAAGGCGUAGAGAUCGGGAGGAACACCAGUGGCGAAGGCGGCCUACUGGGCUCUAACUGACGCUGAGGCACGAAAGCGUGGGUAGCAAACAGGAUUAGAUACCCUUGUAGUC